This 253-nucleotide ribosomal RNA is filed under the name uncultured bacterium. RNAcentral describes it as "partial 16S ribosomal RNA". It matches the Rfam family "Bacterial small subunit ribosomal RNA", at positions 524 to 775 of the family's 1533-position model. The record is from RNAcentral.
UACGUAGGGUGCGAGCGUUAAUCGGAAUUACUGGGCGUAAAGCGUGCGCAGGCGGUUUUGUAAGCCAGAUGUGAAAUCCCCGGGCUUAACCUGGGAAUGGCAUUUGGGACUGCAAGGCUUGAGUGCGGCAGAGGAGACUGGAAUUCCUGGUGUAGCAGUGAAAUGCGUAGGAUAUCAGGAGGAACACCGAUGGCGAAGGCAGGUCUCUGGGCUGACACUGACGCUCAUGCACGAAAGCGUGGGGAGCAAACAG